This 21-nucleotide unclassified non-coding RNA is filed under the name Chlamydomonas reinhardtii. Its description in RNAcentral is "small RNA Cre_0068". The record is from RNAcentral. Lineage: Eukaryota; Viridiplantae; Chlorophyta; Chlorophyceae; Chlamydomonadales; Chlamydomonadaceae.
AACGUGGUAGCGGCGUGUAAC